AGCAGCCGCGGUAAUUCCAGCUCCAAUAGCGUAUAUUAAAGUUGUUGCAGUUAAAAAGCUCGUAGUUGAAUUUCGGGAUCAAUAUUUCGGUCAUGCCGUUGGUAUGCACUGUUAUCAUUGAUUUCUCACCUUCUAAAGAACCGUAAUGCCAUUAAUUUGGUGUUACGGGGAAUUAGGAUUGUUACCUUGAAAAAAUUAGAGUGUUUAAAGCAGGCUCACGCUUGAAUAUAUUAGCAUGGAAUAAUGAAAUAGGACAUCCGAUUCUAUUUUGUUGGUUUCUAGGAUCGAUGUAAUGAUUAAUAGGGAUAGUUGGGGGCAUUAGUAUUCAAUUGUCAGAGGUGAAAUUCUUGGAUUUAUUGAAGACUAACUACUGCGAAAGCAUUUGCCAAGGAUGUUU
This 397-nucleotide ribosomal RNA is filed under the name uncultured Glomeromycotina. RNAcentral's name for it is "SSU rRNA". It matches the Rfam family "Eukaryotic small subunit ribosomal RNA", at positions 569 to 969 of the family's 1831-position model. Lineage: Eukaryota; Fungi; Glomeromycota. The record is from RNAcentral.